This 450-nucleotide ribosomal RNA is filed under the name uncultured bacterium. Its description in RNAcentral is "partial 16S ribosomal RNA". It matches the Rfam family "Bacterial small subunit ribosomal RNA", at positions 354 to 796 of the family's 1533-position model. The record is from RNAcentral.
GUGGGGAAUCUUCCGCAAUGGACGAAAGUCUGACGGAGCAACGCCGCGUGAGUGAAGAAGGUUUUCGGAUCGUAAAGCUCUUUCGUUAGGGACGAACGUGCUCUUUGUGAAUAAUGAGGAGUAAUGACGGUACCUAAAUAAGAAGCCACGGCUAACUACGUGCCAGCAGCCGCGGUAAUACGUAGGUGGCAAGCGUUGUCCGGAAUUAUUGGGCGUAAAGCGCGCGCAAGCGGGAUAUCAAGUCUGUCUUAAAAGUGCGAGGCUCAACCUCGUGAGGGGACAGAAACUGGUAUUCUUGAGUGUCGGAGAGGAAAGUGGAAUUCCAAGUGUAGCGGUGAAAUGCGUAGAGAUUUGGAAGAACACCAGUGGCGAAGGCGACUUUCUGGACGAUGUCUGACGCUGAGGCGCGAAAGCUAGGGGAGCGAACGGGAUUAGAUACCCGUGUAGUCC